Molecule: long non-coding RNA, 1745 nt
Filed under: Mus musculus (house mouse)
Lineage: Eukaryota; Metazoa; Chordata; Mammalia; Rodentia; Muridae
Description: long non-coding RNA chr4:153957254-153958999
Source: RNAcentral
AGAGCCGCGCGAUUGAGACUUGGCGGAGGAGCGUUAGGCCGGGGCGCUCACUCAUGAGGAGCAGGAAGGUGAGGGGCCCCCGCAGGCGGGGUGCGCGCCGCCGAGCCGCACUCUCCCAGGGGAGCCGGCGGGGGGCGGGCGCCUCGAGCCCCGCCCCUGGGAGGGGAACCCGCACUCCAGGCACCUCCACCCGCCCCAGGCGCGGGGCUCCAGGCUCGCUCCCCGGGGUGAGGGCCACCGGGACCCGAGCUUUGCCCUCGGCCGUGCGGGCUACUGCCCGGGCUUCCUGGCCUCUCGCACUGCCCACAGAUGGGCGUGCUGCAGCCGAGCGAGCUCAGCCAAGCCCCUGUGUCGUGUGUAACCUGGGCUGAGGGCGGGCAGUGGGACGGGAGCUAGGGUGACUGGGACCUAAACCCCGGCUGCAAAGGGUCUCUGGCCGAACGAGCAUGGCAGGGACAGUGAGUCCCUUAGCCUGAAGUGUGUCUGCCCUGCACCGCUAGCCAAAGUCCAGGCUGACGUCCCUGCCUCUUGCGUUGCGCAGACGUUUGUGUGUAGCGAGGCUGACAAUAACUGUUCCCCGUGUCAGUGGUCAUGGUUGCUGCCCCUCCCUUGCAUAAGGAGACUUUAUUAAGGUUUAAUAGUUCCCCGCUGUGUUUUUUACUUCUUUGCGCGCCUCGGUUCCAGUGAGACACAGAAGGGUCUAACUCUUGUGAGGUUCUCUCCCACUUUCCGUUAGCUGUCUGUUGACAGUGCAGCCUUGCAAUCCUUACUUUACCCUUUGCAGCCACUUCCUCAGGCCAGCAAGGGCCCCUCGGACCCUCCCCCUUUGUUUGUUCCUGCCUGUUGCUAGCACGUGCCUCUUUUGCCUGUUCAGAGAAGUAUGUUUAAGAUAAUUUUAUGUUAGGGACUUUCCUUGGGGGUCGAGGGUGCCCUUUGUACCUGGAUUACUGAUUGGGUCCUUAGCUUCAGCUAGAACUCCCGGUGGUUCUAAAGCAACACCCCCUCCCCCCUCCACACACACACCCAUUUGCAUCUGGAAAUUCCUUUAUUCUCACCUUCAUCUUAGAGGACAGGUUUUCUGGGUAUGGAUUUUCUUAGCUGGCAUUUUGUUUCGUGCAGGUAGUGAUCUCACCGUGGUUCACAUACUGUUUCUGCAGAAUAAGCAGUUGUUUUUUACUGGUACCUCCAGGAUGAGAACUGCCCCGGGAGGUGGCCUGGCCAUGUGUUUAUUAUCCUCUCCCUCCUGUGUCACAAACUUCCCAGUCACAGGUUAUUGUUUUCAACGAACAGGAGGCUUUCAACCAUUCUGUCUUCAAAUACUUUUUUCUGCUUUUUCUACUUUCUGGUUGUCCCUUACAUGUAUGUGUGCUGGUGUGUGAGUUAAGGCCAGCCUAGGCUACCUAGGAAGUUCUAGGUCAGCUGGGGCAAUAAGAUAUGUGACACAGUUGUGUGUGAUGGCAACAGGCUGUGACCCCAGCACUCGGGAGGCUAAGACAGAUGUAUUUUAUAUUCAAGACCUAGCAGAGUAACUUAAUGAAAUUGACAAAAAAGAAAAAGACAGGCAGGCAGGCAGAGGUGGGGCUGGGAGUGCAUGAAACUCCCGAGCAGAGCAGCGUAAGCCAGGUGUGAAGCUCACAUUUGUAAUCCCAGCACUUGGGAAACACGGGCAGUUUCAGGAGGGCAAGGUUCUCAUUAGCUUCACAGCAAGAUAAGAGGCCAGCCUGGGACACAUAAGACCCCAUACU